UGGGGAAUAUUGCACAAUGGGGGAAACCCUGAUGCAGCAACGCCGCGUGCGGGAUGACGGCCUUCGGGUUGUAAACCGCUUUCAGCCAUGACGAAGCUUUUGUGACGGUAGUGGCAGAAGAAGCACCGGCUAACUACGUGCCAGCAGCCGCGGUGAUACGUAGGGUGCGAGCGUUUUCCGGAAUUAUUGGGCGUAAAGAGCUUGUAGGCGGUUUGUCGCGUCGAAAGUGUAAACUCAGUGCUUAACGCUGAGCCUGCUUUCGAUACGGGCUGACUAGAGGAAGGUAGGGGAGAAUGGAAUUCCCGGUGGAGCGGUGGAAUGCGCAGAUAUCGGGAGGAACACCAGUGGCGAAGGCGGUUCUCUGGACCUUUCCUGACGCUGAGAAGCGAAAGCGUGGGUAGCAAACAGG
RNAcentral lists this ribosomal RNA (409 nucleotides) under bacterium. RNAcentral's name for it is "partial 16S ribosomal RNA". It matches the Rfam family "Bacterial small subunit ribosomal RNA", at positions 355 to 776 of the family's 1533-position model. The record is from RNAcentral.